Molecule: ribosomal RNA, 374 nt
Filed under: uncultured organism
Description: partial 16S ribosomal RNA
Rfam family: Bacterial small subunit ribosomal RNA
Source: RNAcentral
GUAGGUGGCAAGCGUUGUCCGGAAUUAUUGGGCGUAAAGCGCGCGCAGGCGGUCCUUUAGGUCUGAUGUGAAAGCCCACGGCUCAACCGUGGAGGGUCAUUGGAAACUGGGGGACUUGAGUACAGAAGAGGAAAGCGGAAUUCCAAGUGUAGCGGUGAAAUGCGUAGAGAUUUGGAGGAACACCAGUGGCGAAGGCGGCUUUCUGGUCUGUAACUGACGCUGAGGCGCGAAAGCGUGGGGAGCAAACAGGGAUUAGAUACCCUGGUAGUCCACGCUGUAAACGAUGAGUGCUAAGUGUUAGGGGGGUUUCCGCCCCCUUAGUGCUGCAGCUAACGCAUUAAGCACUCCGCCUGGGGAGUACGGCCGCAAGGCUG